GACGAACGCUGGCGGCGUGCUUAACACAUGCAAGUCGAACGGAAAGGCCCUGCUUUUGUGGGGUGCUCGAGUGGCGAACGGAUGAGUAACACGUGAGUAACCUGCCCUUGACUUUGGGAUAACUUCAGGAAACUGGGGCUAAUACCGGAUAGGAGCUCCUGCUGCAUGGUGGGGGUUGGAAAGUUUCGGCGGUUGGGGAUGGACUCGCGGCUUAUCAGCUUGUUGGUGGGGUAGUGGCUUACCAAGGCUUUGACGGGUAGCCGGCCUGAGAGGGUGACCGGCCACAUUGGGACUGAGAUACGGCCCAGACUCCUACGGGAGGCAGCAGUGGGGAAUAUUGCACAAUGGGCGGAAGCCUGAUGCAGCAACGCCGCGUGCGGGAUGACGGCCUUCGGGUUGUUAACCGCUUUCGCCUGUGACGAAGCGUGAGUGACGGUAAUGGGUAAAGAAGCACCGGCUAACUACGUG
RNAcentral lists this ribosomal RNA (468 nucleotides) under uncultured bacterium. Its description in RNAcentral is "partial 16S ribosomal RNA". It matches the Rfam family "Bacterial small subunit ribosomal RNA", at positions 28 to 507 of the family's 1533-position model. The record is from RNAcentral.